RNAcentral lists this ribosomal RNA (137 nucleotides) under uncultured eukaryote. Its description in RNAcentral is "partial 18S ribosomal RNA". It matches the Rfam family "Eukaryotic small subunit ribosomal RNA", at positions 1299 to 1458 of the family's 1831-position model. The record is from RNAcentral.
UGGUGGGGUGACUUGGCUGCUUAAUUGCGAUAACGAACGAGACCUUAACCUGCUAAAUAGCCCGCAUUGCUCCGGCAGUGCGCUGGCUUCUUAGAGGGACUUUCGGCUCAAGCCGAAGGAAGUUUGAGGCAAUAACA